RNAcentral lists this long non-coding RNA (245 nucleotides) under Prunus persica (peach). RNAcentral describes it as "long non-coding RNA (PPER_LNC007282)". The record is from RNAcentral. Lineage: Eukaryota; Viridiplantae; Streptophyta; Magnoliopsida; Rosales; Rosaceae.
AGGGGGAGCGUGGUAUUAAUAAAGACCUUCAUACACUGUACUCUUUUUCCUUCAUCUAGGUUUUUAUCCCACUGGAUUUUUCCUGGUAAGGUUUUAACGAGGCAGUGUCGCUCAAGAUUGACUCACAGAAGCAGUGUCAACUAUGAUAUUCAGAAAGAUAAUCAACAGAAUGGCUUAAAAAUAUUUUGCCAAGCAUCAGGGGGAGCGUGCUGUCAAGAAAGACCUUACACAUUGUACUCUUUUUC